RNAcentral lists this ribosomal RNA (622 nucleotides) under uncultured bacterium. RNAcentral describes it as "bacterial SSU rRNA". It matches the Rfam family "Bacterial small subunit ribosomal RNA", at positions 8 to 689 of the family's 1533-position model. The record is from RNAcentral.
AGAGUUUGAUCCUGGCUCAGAACGAACGCUGGCGGCAGGCCUAACACAUGCAAGUCGAGCGAUCCUUCGGGAUAGCGGCGGACGGGUGAGUAACGCGUGGGAACGUGCCCUUCGGUUCGGAAUAGCCCCGGGAAACUGGGAUUAACGCCGGAUACGCCCUUUUGGGGAACGAGGGAUCGGCCCGCGUCCGAUUAGGUAGUUGGUGGGGUAACGGCCUACCAAGCCGACGAUCGGUACCUGGUUUGAGAGGAUGAUCAGGCACACUGGGACUGAGACACGGCCCAGACUCCUACGGGAGGCAGCAGUGGGGAAUCUUGGACAAUGGGGGCAACCCUGAUCCAGCCAUGCCGCGUGAGCGAUGAAGGCCUUAGGGUUGUAAAGCUCUUUCGCCGGUGAAGAUAAUGACGGUAGCCGGAGAAGAAGCCCCGGCUAACUCCGUGCCAGCAGCCGCGGUAAUACGGAGGGGGCUAGCGUUGUUCGGAAUUACUGGGCGUAAAGCGCGCGUAGGCGGAUGAUCAAGUCGGGGGUGAAAUCCCGGGGCUCAACCCCGGAACUGCCUUCGAUACUGGUCGUCUGGAGGACGGAAGAGGCGAGUGGAAUACCGAGUGUAGAGGUGAAAUUC